RNAcentral lists this long non-coding RNA (1118 nucleotides) under Piliocolobus tephrosceles (Ugandan red Colobus). Its description in RNAcentral is "lncRNA (ENSPTEG00000013728.1)". The record is from RNAcentral. Lineage: Eukaryota; Metazoa; Chordata; Mammalia; Primates; Cercopithecidae.
AAUUAUUAUAACCUCGUUUUCCCUAUAUAAAAUUAAAUAUAUAUAUAUUUACUUAUUUAUCCGUUGACUAUGAAUCGCUAUGAGCUUAUAAGUUUGACAAUAACAAAACUUACCAUUUUGUUUGAAGUGCUUGUAAAUAUAUUUGUAUUUGCACUUCUUUACUAUUAUUUUAUGUUCAUGUUAUUAUUUAUUGUUAAUAUUUUUAAAAUGAGAAAAAUUUUAUAUUCUUUGUUAUUUUUGAUACAUGUUUAUAUACAUUGUUGUACACCAGUGUACAUGACAAACCCAUUGAACAAAAAAGAAAUACAUAUAGGUAAUUAUUAUAUAUGCAACUUAAGGGAUUACGCAGAAGAUACCUGUAAUUUAAAUUAUACGCCUAACAAAGUAGUAAAGUUACUUUGUCCAGUUGUUCCAGAUAGUCCUAAUACAUUUAAUUCUGAUUAUUGUUUUGAAUCUGAUGGUGUAAAAGACGGUUAUGCUAUUAAAGAUAAUAAUAAGUCCAUAUUUACCACUAUACCUGGUAUUAUAAUCACAAGUAAAAUAAUAAACAAUGUACAUAAUAUCACAAUUACGCCUCCAUUUUAUGUACUAAAUAAUAUAUCAAUUAUAUGUAUGUGCGACAGUAUUAAUACCCGUGAAGAAUCAAAGGCAUAUUUAAAAAUUAAUAUAUCAAGAACAGAACAAACACACAGCACUUUAAAUAGUCUUGUUAAAGGGUGUGACUUUGGUAGUAAUUUAGGUGAAAAUCAAUUUUUAACAAAAUCUUCCAACGAAGAUGACUUUUUUAUGUGUAAUAUUAAUGCAUACCCAGGUGAUAUAAUAGGACUAAACUGUAGUAACUUUUAUAAUAAAAAUUAUGACGAUAAAACAAGAAUUGAGCCAAAAAAUUGUUUUUCUACGGUUUAUUUUGGUAUUGAUAAACACAGUUAUAAUGCCAUUGGUAUAAACAGUUUAUUACCUGGUGCUAAAUCAUAUCCUGAUUUAUCUUCAACCCCAAAAGACAAAAACUUCCCUUAUUUUGGAACUACAUAUUUAAUGAUACCUGAUGUAAUAGAUUCAAAGUUUACCAUAUAUUGUUCAUGCCUUUAUAGGACUCAUGCAAGUGUUGCUGUAUACGA